CUUAACUAUAGAAAAGGAAGAUUCGACGAAAACAGUUCAUGGGUAUUUGAAUACACUUUUCAACCUGAUAUGUACCGUCAAUCAAGGAAUUCCAACAGGAAAGCUUAUGUGGAUAGUCAAUAAUAAUACUCUUAAUGAAACAGGAGAGUCGUCUGUAGUCUACUCUUUUAAACCUAGAAAGAAAGACCAUUUAAAACUAUUUACAUGCG
This 209-nucleotide long non-coding RNA is filed under the name Mytilus galloprovincialis (Mediterranean mussel). The record is from RNAcentral. Lineage: Eukaryota; Metazoa; Mollusca; Bivalvia; Mytilida; Mytilidae.